AUGUGUUUUGUGUUUAGUCUUCCGGCGUAGAGUGGGAUGUCAUGGCCGGCGAAUUUAUUUGGUGUUUGAAGUAUCGCGUUAUAUUUGUAAUCGGUUUUUUCGGGUGCCCGUAUGUGCCAACUUGAAAUGUUUGUGCAUACUAUGCAGGUCAGAAAUAUUGUGGACAGAAGAAUUGGGCGACUUGUUUAGCGAGUGCACUUUUUCGCUACCACAGAUCGUAAAGUGAAUUUCGGAUAAAGUGCUAAAAGCAGCUAAGCUCUUCAGUCAGUUGAAGUUUCAUUAGUCCCUGGGGCCAAGAUUUGAGGAGUUCAUCAAAUGGUUGUAACUACAAGAUAAUUGCUUUUUCAACUGAAUUGAGGAAAUGUGAAUUGUUGUCAAUGUGGCUGGAGCACUGGCAAUUACUGUUUCUCGAGGUAGAUCUGUUCAAGAAAAAGUUACUCAAGUUAAUUUUGUAAUGGAAGUAACAGAGUGAAUAAUGUGGUGCACAAUGGCUAACUGCAGUUUCUUAAUAAAUGGUUACAUGAACAUGAACAUUGCUUAAUUCGAAUGUGUGACAAGAUAUUAUUUGGGUACAUGCCUGAAGAAGAAUGUAAUCUGAUGACUGCCAUUACCUGCAUUGAUGAAGCUCAUGCACCUGUCGUCUGCAGAAUGGUGGAAUUUUUUUCACAAAAAUAACUGGUGGUGGAAUAUUGAUGUACCAUGAUCCAAAGGAACUUCUAAGUAAUUCCUAAUAUUGAUACGGAGCAAUGAAGGCAGUCAUACCAAGUAUGAAGCAGAGACAACAUAGUAUGAUGAAAUAAGUGGUUUUUAUUCAGAAAGCUGUAUAAUUUGAAGACUAUCUGUAUUUGCUAAUUGCAUUAAUUACCGAAAGCACAAACUGCUCUGUAGCCCUGCAUUCAUGAUGAUGGCGGAACUCUUUAAACAUGCUUUAGGAAAAAGAAAAACUGAAAAGUGAUUGCUACAAAAGUGACAUUUCAUCAGUUAACCAAAAGUAAUAGAGGAUGAUGCUGUAGUGAAAGUUAGAAUUUCACAGGACAUGAAAAUUAAUAAAUGUACAGAUAUAUAUAAAAUUUUGACAUUAAUAUUUUAUUUUGUAAAAAGCUAUUUUAAGUGAGGGCUUUAUUCAAGAGGGGCAAAAUUAUAUGACAUUUCCACCCCAGAUUGAUUUUUUAAAAAUUGUAAUAGUUUGUCUUCAAAUAUUGUGUAAAUUUAGUGAUGAUUAGUGUUUGAUGAAACUUCAUCAAAUCUGUUUUCAUAUUU
Molecule: unclassified non-coding RNA, 1260 nt
Filed under: Schistocerca americana (American grasshopper)
Lineage: Eukaryota; Metazoa; Arthropoda; Insecta; Orthoptera; Acrididae
Description: uncharacterized protein DDB_G0271670-like, transcript variant X1
Source: RNAcentral